This 205-nucleotide ribosomal RNA is filed under the name uncultured bacterium. Its description in RNAcentral is "partial 16S ribosomal RNA". It matches the Rfam family "Bacterial small subunit ribosomal RNA", at positions 328 to 544 of the family's 1533-position model. The record is from RNAcentral.
ACGCUCGACACCUACGAGAGGCAGCAGUGGGGAAUAUUGCACAAUGGGGGAAACCCUGAUGCAGCGACGCCGCGUGGAGGAAGAAGGUCUUCGGAUUGUAAACUCCUGUUGUUGGGGAAAAAGAGGAUGGUACCCAACAAGGAAGUGACGGCUAACUACGUGCCCGNAGCCGCCGGUAAGUACUGAGCGGGCGUGGCGAAGGACG